CUAAACAAAAUCAGAGAGAGUCUAACUUACCACGCUUACGCAGUCAAGACGUCAUACACUUUUAGGUCUUGUUUUCCGCAAUGCGAAACGUAAAGAAAGCAAUUUAGGGUCUACAGUAUUCUCAAGAAACCUAACAAUCAACGUGGUAACUAUUAAGUUCCUAACAAUAUUGAUAGUUGGUAAAUUGUGACCUAAUUAUUGUGUUACUACAUACCCACAGCGGGGUGUCCCUAUAAUUUUGUCCAAGUCUGUCCAUGUAGCCAUACAAUUAAUAACGCUUAAGUAAAUUCAAAUUGGAAACCAUUGCUAAGCAAUCAGUUUUAUGCACAUUAUUUUUAAUCAGUCUGUUUGUAAUUCAUGCAAACAACUCUUGUUGGCGGUUAGUGGAAAGCAAUGUCAAUCUUACAGAGUCUUUUGUAAUGGAAGAAUGUUACUUAGUAACCCCAGAUUUUAGCUGCAUAGUAGCUAUUGAAAACAACAUACUAGAAUUCUCUAAUUGUCCAUGUAUAAGUGCAUGCACCACACACAAAUGUGUGGUUAUAGUGAACAUGUAGCUUGUCUUUAGGAUGAUUUAUUGCUCAAUAGUAGUGCAUAGUCAUUUGUUGAGAGCACACAAAAAGAAGCCAAAAAUACAUGCCUUGACUGUGGGGCUCAGUAUAAGACACAGCAAACAGUAAAACGACACAUGAAUAACAACAUGAUGCUGGCUACGAGAAAGAUAUUAGGCAUAAAUGCAUGGUUGAAGAAUGUGGUUUGAAAUUUAUGCAAGUGAAAGUCUAACAGAACACAUGGUGUCACAUCAUAACAUGGACAUGGGUAUGUUGUACUUUCACUCUAUAUUCAUGUCAGAGAUAAUGCCAUGUGAACGUAUUUGUACCAUCCACAGGAAUACAUGAACUUGAAUUCAAUAGCAGUGAUGAAUUUUUUGAGUGCAAAAAGGAGGAAGAGAGGAAGACAUGCACAUACUACAGAAGAGAGAGGUCAAAGAAGCCAACCCAAGGAAACCAAGAAUGCAAAAACGGAAACAAUUUGUCUCUCCAAGAUCAACGCAAAAUUUUAUCCAAACAGCAAAGUCAACGAUGGUAUGUGAGUGGACACACCAAUCACUCGCCAAAUCUAUCCGAAAUGCCAUACAUCCCCUUACCAGAUGAUAUCAAAGACAUUGUUUCACAAAAGCUGGCAAUGGAAGUGAUAGUAGAGAGAAUUCUUGACGAUAUAUUGACUGGUGUUGGAGAUGGAGCAGAGAGACACAAUUUUAACAGCAUAGCACAGAGAGAGCAUUCAUAACACGGCAGGACAUUAGGAAUAUUUCCAAGUCAGUUGUAGAUAUGUCUGCAGCGAACCAUGCCAAUGAUGCAGUCUGUUGUUGCAAUUGUGAAAAAACUAGCCAGUGAGCAAUAUAACGCCGUCUUGUUGCACAAACCGUUUGGCGUGAAGGAUGAUAAUUUUCCUGAAUUGCCAGAAGAGUCAUUCAUGUUAGUGAUUCAGACAGAGCAUCAGAAAGAGCUCUUUGAAAAAUUCAGUUCUGGAGUGGUUUGUGUUGACUCAACGCACAACACAAAUCUAUACAACUAUAAACUUUUACCCUGAUGAUCAGAGAUGAUCAUGGUCAAGACAAUGCUGCAUGGACUGCAGCUAAGGCUGGAUUUGGAAACGACAAGAAACAUCUCCUAUGCAGAUGUUAUGUUGACAGAAACUUUAGGAAGAAUUUGUAUGCAAAAGUAAAAAACAAACUUUAUCAGGUUGCUCUGUACCAAGGCUUGUGCUUCAUCCUAAGUGAAACAGGCAGAACAAAAUUUCAUGGGUACAUGAAUUCUUUUAUUUAUACAUGGCUGUGAAAAGAACCCAGCUUCACUGAUUAUUUCAAGACACACUACAGCUACAGGCCAGAGGUGUGGGCAAUGGCAUACUAAGAUUACGAUUAUGUUGGCACAGACACAAACAUGGUUGUGGAAAAUUUCCACAGCAAACUGAACAGACAUCCCUCUUAUUUGACAAACAUCUCUAAUAGACAAAUAGAUCAUUUGGUCAAUGUUCUUCUAACAAUGGAAGAAGACCAAUGCCUUGAUGUACAGAAAACAACGCUGGCAUAAACACAAUCCUAGCACAAAACAAGAAGAGACACGACAUGACCAGGAAUUCUGAUCAAUGAGGCAGAGGUGGAGGAAUGUGAAGGAAACGUCUGGAAUGUUCAAUCUCAAUUAAAGGCUGAAAUCAUUUACCAUGUUAAACAGCUUCACCCAUGUUGUCUCAACUGCAUUUGUGCAUCUUUCACAUGUGCCAUCUGUGGCUGCUGUUGGCACAUGUUUCAGUGUAGCUGCUACGACUUUGCAACAGGGCACCUAUGCAAACAUAUCCACAAAGUGUGUGCAAAACAUUGUCUAACUGCUUGUGUGGCAACAUUACCAGAUACAAGUGCCAAUGAAACUGAUGUAAAAUAAAGUUCUCAUCUCAAAGUUGUGAUACCACAAGCAGAAGACAUCACUAGAAGGGUUGAAGGUAGCACUACAUUAUGACAGACAGCAAAAACAAUGCCAUGUCUAAUAAACACACUGACUGAUUAACUUCAUGUCUACCAUCUACUAAACAAUUAAACUCAUACGAGUACUUACAGAACUAGUAAAUGUAAGAUGUCAUUAUACGACUUGCAGAACAUGCA
Long non-coding RNA from Corticium candelabrum, 2659 nucleotides. RefSeq lists it as uncharacterized. The record is from RefSeq and is a predicted model, not a curated record. NCBI's taxonomy places the organism in Eukaryota, Metazoa, Porifera, Homoscleromorpha, Homosclerophorida, Plakinidae. The transcript has 8 exons.